This 433-nucleotide ribosomal RNA is filed under the name uncultured bacterium. Its description in RNAcentral is "partial 16S ribosomal RNA". It matches the Rfam family "Bacterial small subunit ribosomal RNA", at positions 29 to 507 of the family's 1533-position model. The record is from RNAcentral.
AACGAACGCUGGCGGCAUGCCUAACACAUGCAAGUCGAACGAAACCUUCGGGUCUAGUGGCGCACGGGUUCGUAACGCGUGGGAACCUUCCCUUAGGUUCGGAAUAACUCCCCGAAAGGGGUGCUAAUACCGGAUAAUGUCUUCGGACCAAAGAUUUAUCGCCUUUGGAUGGGCCCGCGUUGGAUUAGCUAGUUGGUAGGGUAAAAGCCUACCAAGGCGACGAUCCAUAGCUGGUCUGAGAGGAUGAUCAGCCACACUGGGACUGAGACACGGCCCAGACUCCUACGGGAGGCAGCAGUGGGGAAUAUUGGACAAUGGGCGAAAGCAUGAUCCAGCAAUGCCGCGUGAGUGAUGAAGGCCUUAGGGUUGUAAAGCUCUUUUAACCGGGAUGAUAAUGACAGUACCGGGAGAAUAAGCUCCGGCUAACUCCGUG